CCUUCUCCCAUUUCCUUUCACGAGACACCACAGCUAAACUUCUGCUCCCCUUUCACGAUCGUCGUUUCUUUUUAGAUUCCACUCUCCGAAACCCUCAAUUUCUUUGUGUCUUUGAUGGCCCUCUCAAGAUUCGUAUCAAUGUCCUCUAGAACCCUUUUUUUCAGCUUAGAUCGUUGCGGAAGCUAGAAUUUAAUUUGUUCAGGUGAAGGAGUUUCUUUCGAAUUUUGCAGACGCCAAUGGCGAACAAGGAUGUGAGGAACUUCGCAGGCAGGACUGCGUACGACGUGGCGUCGAAGAACAAGCAUGCGAGGUUGAGUGCGCUGACGAGGAGGGGAAAGGUGAGGAGCAUCCAACGGCUGAUUGAGGACGAGCGAUGGUAUAUAGAAGGGACCAACAAGGUUUGGAAAGCCCAGGAAAAAAGAGACAUCAAAAUGAAAGAGGUAUCGAGCAAAGUACAGAAUGUCUGAUUUGCCUAGAGUCGGUGGUAAGAAGGACUAUCUUAUUUUUGCAAUUUAUUUAUCCUUGAAUUGUAUGCAUAAUCCUUUUAAGUUGAUGAUUUGUAUCAUUAUGCAGGAUUAUUCCAAAGUGAGGUGUGAAUACACUUGCUUUGAGUAUAUUUAUACCUUUGUAUAUUUACAUGUGGAGUAGAAUGAAUGGGUCUGAUAUAUCAAAGUUAUUCCAUCUACAUCCAUUGAUAUGAUUCGAUGGUUAUUUUCCAUCUGCUGCUAGUUGAGUCUGAUUGGAUAGUCUCCGGUACCUAUAAUCUAAUUCCCAAGUUAUUUUCUAGGGCAAAUGUUUUGUUUUUGUAUUGUAGUCUGGGUCAUGUUUUUGGGCUUCUCUUAAUGGCAGGGUUGUCUCGUAAGCAUUUUGUUUGCCCUAUUUGGAGUGAACUCUAAGAAAACCCUAUGCAAGCAAUACUGAUUAUUAGAUAUUCAACAGAAAAAUCAUUAGUUAUCAGUAGUUAAUUGGUUUUGAUCUCACCGUUUAAAAAUCAUAAAAGGUUUAUGUUGGGGUCUUGUGUGUGGAGAAUAUUAGUCAUGAAAAUGCAGGAUUGUGUAGUAAAAAUAGUUAUAAACAUAAUUGGUAAGAAAAGAGUUAGAGUAGCACGUACAGGUAAGUCUCGAGGUUGGAGAUUGGUAUCCGAAAUUGGAGAUAUUAAAAAACUGAACAUAAGAUAUAUUUAAUUAAAAUCUAAACAAUGAGGUUGGAGAUUGGUAUCCGGAAUUGGGGAUAUUAAAAAAUUGAACAUAAGAUAUAUUUAAUUAAAAUCUAAACAAAAGUAGUUUUAGUUCAACUAUUUUUUUAUUUGAUUGAGUCAUUUUUUAGAUGAGUUUUAAAUGUAGGUUUUAUAUGAGAUGAUAGUGAAGCAUUGUUGAAUCACUACAAAAAUUAUUUGCUUGAAUUCUUCUUGUAUAGGAAGAUUUGUCUGUCCUGCACCUCGUGCUCUUGUUCUUGGAAUGAUCCAAUUGAUUAAGUAUAGGUAAGUUUUAAGUGUUUUGAAUAUAUAGUUUAAGCGCUUCACUAAUUCUUUGAUGUAAAGAUAACUAACACUUUAUUAAGUUUGCAAUGCUAUUUAGUACAAUUGUUCAGGGUGGUAUUUCUUAUUUAAAAAUUGUUAAAGCUUUCUAACACUUUAUCACAUUGUUCAAUCUAUGAAAUGGUAACUACAAUAUUAUUUGCUCUUUUAACUUUAACCAUAAUGUUCAAAAUAAAUUGAACGAAACAUACACAUAAUUAUACAUUUCUGAUGUUACUAUAAUGUUUAUUUGCAGGUGCCAAGUACAUAAACAAUAUUAAAGAUACUAUCAUUAACAUCAAUCAACAAACAUGGGGAGAAAUACUCAAAAUGAUGAUGUUUAUUUUUGUUUUAAUAAUUGCUAGGGAUUAGCUAGGAAAAAAAUUGCUAGGGAUCAGCUAGAGAUUAGCUAGGGAAAAAAUUGCUAGGGAUCAGCUAGGGAUUAGCUAGGGAUAUCAGCGAGGGAAUCAUUCUCUCACUAUUUAGCUACAUAUAAUUUAGCUACGGAUAAAUCCCUAGUUAAUCCCUCGCUAAAUCAUUGUGAGGGAUUAGCGAGGGAUUAGCUAGAGAUUAUACCGUUGCAAAUACAUUGUUUUCUUGUAGUGUGUCAAAUGUAUGAUUGGUCCUGCCACAAUGAGUACAUAGUUUGUUGGAGAAGACUCUACCUCUUCCAGUAUUGUUACGACCUCUGCCUCUAUUUCCACGACCUUUGCCAUUUUCGGUGUAUUGGUUUGGGUUCACAAGAAGACCCCUUCCAGAACCAAUGUGUUGAUCAGUUUUGACAACAAAAAUUUUUGUAUCAGAUGGAGGUUCAAUCAUUCUUGUAUUAGACAUAUGCCUUUCUUGUUGAGCAACCAUAGAGAAAGUCUUGUUUAUUGGAGGAAGAGGGUCCAGGAGCAUGAUCUGGGACCUAACAUGUGAAAAUUGUUUGUUUAACCCUUUGAGGAAACGAAUGACAUAGUCUUGAUCUCUGUAUUUCUUAUACGCUUGGGUUGCUUCGCAUGUGCAGGGUAUUGAACACUUCCAAAUGAGAAUCGAUCUAUAAUUGUCAAACUCAUCCCAUAGACUUUUCAGUUGAGUGAAAUAUUGACUAACAUUGAGGGUGCCUUGCUGCAAUCGAAAAAUUUCUUCUUGAAGGUCAAAAACCCUAAAUAUAUCAGCUUGAGAAAAGUGAUCAUGAAGAUCCUGCCAAACCUCCAAGUACUAGCUCAAUUGGUUGAGAGUACUUAAUUAUGUGAUAGGACUUGUGUUCAAGUUCUAUGUAUGCCAAUUAUGUGCUAUUUAAUUUAUAAUUAUUUUAAUAAUGUGCUAGAUCAUGAUGAGUGAUAACAUAAUUAUAGAAUUAUAUGAAUUAUCAUGAAACAUGAAUUUGUCGAAUGGUUAUGCAUUAAUUUGACAUUGGUAUGAUUAUGGGUUCGAAUCUUGGUAGACCCACAUUAAACUUUCUUUUUGGUAGAAUUAUGUUGUCAUGAAUAUGAAAAGCCAUAAAACCCUAGCAUCCAAGGGAGGGCUAAAAAACCAUGAUAAGACAAACAUUGAAUGACCAUUAAGCUAAGUUAAAUGCCAAUUUUCGUUUUAGAACAUUAAAAUAUCGUUAAGGCACCAUUAAAAGACAAAUUUUGGGUGAGAAGAAGGGUUUUUAUGCUUGUCAUUGUGUCAUAGUUAGAGGAAUCCAAGUUAGGGGAGCUUUACGCGUUAAUUUUAUUUUAAGUUUGAUUGGCAUGCUAAAUAGAGUAACCUUACGCGUUAGUUUCAUGUUUAAAUCUGAUUGGCAUGCUAAAUAGAGUAAUUUUACGCGUUAAUUUUAUUUUAAGUCUUAUUGACAUGCUAAAUAGAGUAACUCUACGUGUUAAUUUGAUUUGAAGUUUGAAAUGCUAAAUAGAGUAACUUCAUGCGUUAAUUUUACAAUUAAGUCUGAUUGGCAUGCUAAAUUUAGUAUGAUUAUGCUUAAGAUUUUAUUCCAUUAAGUUAGUAUUUUUGGAAAUUUCCAGAAACUAUCUUGUCGGUGAUGAUUUGUCGACAGACGACUCUUUCCUUUUUAUGCUAACAACGAGUGCAGUGGUGGACAACAACGAGCAUGGCUAGUUUGACGUUGAGCAUGGCUGCGAGUGGUGUGCAAACUGUUGCAGAUGAGGGCAGGCGCGAACUGUUCCAACGAGCUCGGGUGGUGCAGCCCUGGUGGUUUUCUGGUAGUGUGAUAAAUUAAAGGAGAAGGUGGCGCGAAGAGGAAGCCAUGGAGUUUCGUUUUGGGCUGCUACAGACGGUGGAGAUGAUGGCACGACGGAAAGGGGGCUGUUCCGGUGUGUUGCAGGUGCGAAGGAGUAAGUCGACGGUGGUGUGGUGACGACCGGCGUAGGGGCGGCGACUGCGGCAUGGAGAUGGUGGGAGAGAAGGAAAAUUAAGGUUAGGGUUUUGGUUGUGUGAAAGAGAGAGGGUGAUGAGGUGUCAUUCUAUGAUUGGGUAUUUUAGUGAGUGGAGGAUUGAGGACGUGACAAACUUUAAUUGGUUAUUUUAGUAAGUGGAGGAAUGCCACAUGGCAUAAUCUGGUUGAGUGGAGGUUAAGUGAUAUUAGGGGUGCAAAUUAGUAAAAAGAAGGGGUGUAGAAUAGAGUCAGAAGACCCAAUUCCAGGAGGGGUGUGGAAAAUAAAAACUGGAGGUGCAUUUAGCUCAAGAAAUAUUCCUUUUCAGAAUUAAAUGGCUAAUUCUAGAAGAAGGGUGUGAAAAGGAAAAUUGGAGGUGCAAAUAGCUUCAGAAAUAUCCCUUUUCAGAAAUUAUGACCCAAUUGCAGAAUGGGGUGUAAAAUAUGAAAACUGGAGGUGCAUUUAGCUCCAGAAAUAUUCCCUUUCAGAAAUAGAUAGUCCAAUUGCAGAAGGGUGUGUGAAAAUGAAAACUGGGAGUGCAUUUAGCACUUGAACUAUUCCUUUCCAAAAUUCUGAUUUUGGGACCUAUUUGAUGACUUGAAAUAUUCCUAAUUCACACUCUUAAGGACCUAAAUUAAAUGACAGUUGCAUUAUUAAACUCAAGAAUAUCCAAUAAUAUAGUAUGCAACUAAAUAUAAUUCUUAAGAGUAAAAAUGAUAUUAAAUCCCCAAAAUUUAACCACUUAAUGAGAGCAAAUGUUCGACCCAUCAUACCCGCCAGACGGUCUGGAAAUGGGCAGCGUUUGGUGGUAUGUGUCCCCCGCCAGGCGAUUUUACUGCAGCAGUAUUGGUGUUCUUACUCUUGACGUGCGUGAUCUACAAAGCUUUAGUGAUGCCUUGAAGGUCGGCUUGCUGGUGUUCCAUGAGUUGUGGCUCAGAACGUAU
Unclassified non-coding RNA from Vigna unguiculata (cowpea), 4820 nucleotides. Lineage: Eukaryota; Viridiplantae; Streptophyta; Magnoliopsida; Fabales; Fabaceae. The record is from RefSeq and is a predicted model, not a curated record.